Molecule: long non-coding RNA, 2264 nt
Organism: Oncorhynchus tshawytscha (Chinook salmon)
Lineage: Eukaryota; Metazoa; Chordata; Actinopteri; Salmoniformes; Salmonidae
Source: Ensembl
GACAUGUCUGAAUACCCAUACUAGCAUACUACAUACUAUACGUAUACUUGAUAUGACUACUAAUCGUCGCAUACUAUUUAGCAUGUAAUGUUUAGUAAAAGGUAUGCUGUAUGUCACGGCUGCAAUGCAGUCGCAGCUCCUGAUUGGCUGAGUAGGUGGGGCGGGGCCGAGUGUGGGUGAAUUUGUCCAAAUGCAAAAGACAUGCAUCUCAUUAACCAGCCUGAUAAUAGCUCAUUUCUAAUUGUAUUAAUUUCUCUAAACUCUGAAUAAAACUACCUACUCCACAGUAGACCUAUACAGUAGUAGACCAUAUAGACAAUCUACCCUAUUUAAAAACAGACUGAAGACAGAAACAGACCAUUUGGUUCCAUUUCAACAUAUUUAUUAUUUUAUUAGUUCAACGUUUUUUAAAGUGUUUAAAUCAAAAGGCUAUUGGACAGAAAAACUUGAGCAUUCGGUGCAUCGCGAAUUAGGAACCGCUGGACAGCAACGUAAUAAACGAACGCGCUGAUCAUUGGGAACGAGAUCAGAAUGACUGCUAAGGCCUGAUCCAUAAAUUAAAUCAUUCAAUAGGUAGCCUAGCCUACAAAACUAAAACAAAAGGCCUGAUUCACAUGACAUCAAUACCACAGCAACAUCCCAAGUCCCCGGUGUCGACACGUUCAGAAAUCAAAAGAUAAUUUUAAAACUCUGACGAAGACCAAGAGAACAAGAAACACUUUUCAGAGAGGAAACAAAAAUCCACUUUGGGCAAUUAGGAGUCACAGCCGCCUCUCCCCCUCCAUGGAUGAGGCAGCCAGCUGACAAGGCUGCUGUGGUUCCCGCCAAUGGCGGAGGUUGGACUAUGGCUGGCAAAAGAAGCAUCCAGAUUCAGACUUACGGGGUUCCAUGGCCAAGGAGAGGCAAAUGUCAAGUCAUGCGUCCUCCGAAAAAUGACACACCAAACCGCGCUUCUUAACACCUGCCUGCUUAACCCGGAAGCAAGCUGCACCAACGAGGAAACACCGUUCAACUGACGGCCGAGGUUAGCCUGCAGGCGCCUGGCCCACCACAAGAAGCCGCUAGAGCGCAAUGAGCCAAACAAAGACCCGAAGACAUUCAAGCAGCACUUUGAGAGUAAGCAUCCCAGUACUGGUUGAUGUGCUGGCCUAAGUGGACCAAAUGGACCUACUGCUGGGACAGACGAUGACCACGAUUUGAAAUCUGCAACUGAGAUGGAAUAACAUUGAGGGACACACGCUGACACCGAGUAUGACUGGACAUGGGCCGGAUAUUUGGGACAACAACCUGAAAGGGGUGCAUAAGCACACCAGCACCCCAAUUUAUGUUAUUCCAUGGCCAACCAUCCCACUAGCUACCCCUUAUUCCACACUAUGCCGUGUAUGCCCCCUCAACUCCAGACACUUUGGAACUAUCCACCUUCCCAACCUACCUUCACUGAUUUUCGCUAUGCUGCUUCCUUCACUUGUUCUUCUAAUAGCAUCUAGAAUCAGUAACACCUUUAAAUGUGGUCCUGCUUUAAAUGACGUUCUGCUUAUAAAGCCUUCAUAAUGCCGUCAUAAGCACAACACAAGUGUUGCAAAGCAUCUAUAACCGUAUGUCAUGCUUUAUAAAGGGUUCAUAAAUGUGGCAUAACUGUGUUACAUAAUCACCCAUGUCAAAUGUGACAACACUUAUGUUGAAUAUGAUACAAUCAAGUGCUUUAUAACGGGUGACAUGUUGUGUUGCGUUGGCACAGGAUGGCACAUGCGCUACAGUGAAGUCAUGUUAGCCACAUUACACCUAAUCUCGAUCCCAGACACCCAAAUGCACAGAAGGUCUAGUGGACCAAUGCAUGAAACUUGGCCUUCAUUAGUUAGGGUUGGGUUUCACAUGAAAUUUGAAUCAGAUUGAUUGAGGAAAUGGGCAGUGAUUAGCCAUAAUUAUGACUCUGUGGCUGUACUUCAUAAGUCAUCAGAACCUUAAUGACCUAUUUAAGGACACUUUAUCUGGUGUCCUGUAAUACUUUGUUUGAAGUGAUACAACUUCGGUCAUUCAUAACACAUCCGUAAAGACUCUAUAUCCCAUAGCGCUGUACUUUAAAGUCUCCUUUAGUCAUUCAUAGCACAUACAUAAAUGCCUUGUAUCAUAUGACGCUGUACUUACUAUAAAGUCAGACACAUUUGGUCAUUUCUAAACACACAUAGAUGCCUUGUAUCAUAUGACGCUGUACUUACUAUAAAGUCAGACACAUUUGGUCAUUUCUAAACACACAUAGAUGCCUU